RNAcentral lists this ribosomal RNA (465 nucleotides) under uncultured bacterium. RNAcentral describes it as "partial 16S ribosomal RNA". It matches the Rfam family "Bacterial small subunit ribosomal RNA", at positions 338 to 795 of the family's 1533-position model. The record is from RNAcentral.
CCUACGGGAGGCAGCAGUGGGGAAUAUUGCGCAAUGGGCGAAAGCCUGACGCAGCGACACCGCGUGAGGGAUGAAGGUCUUCGGAUCGUAAACCUCUGUCAGCAGGGAAGAACGGUCACUGUGCUAAUCAGCAGUGAAUUGACGGUACCUGCAAAGGAAGCACCGGCUAACUCCGUGCCAGCAGCCGCGGUAAUACGGAGGGUGCGAGCGUUAAUCGGAAUUACUGGGCGUAAAGCGCUCGUAGGCGGUAUGUCAAGUCAAGGGUGAAAUCCCCGCGCUGAACGUGGGAACUGCCUUUGAAACUGGCAAACUGGAGUGUGUGAGAGGCUAGUGGAAUUCCAGGUGUAGGAGUGAAAUGCGUAGAUAUCUGGAGGAACAUCAGUGGCGAAGGCGACUAUCUGGCACAUAACUGACGCUGAGGAGCGAAAGCGUGGGUAGCAAACAGGAUUAGAUACCCCUGUAGUC